This 369-nucleotide ribosomal RNA is filed under the name Triticum aestivum (bread wheat). RNAcentral's name for it is "partial small subunit ribosomal RNA". The record is from RNAcentral. Lineage: Eukaryota; Viridiplantae; Streptophyta; Magnoliopsida; Poales; Poaceae.
AUGGUCCGAUCUGGUAUGGGCAAGCCCGGCGGUAGCGGUAGCAACUCCAAAUCUGCAUUUAGUCGAGCUCUUUCGAAAGUACGUACUAAUAGGCAAGAACAGGGGUCUGCCAAGAAAGCUUCCGGUGGCUCUCGCUCAAAGAAACGGAGCUCCGUCAAGAAGAAACCAUGGAAGGACAAGUUGUACACCAGGUGUGCUCCUUCUAUCAUUGUAGAUCUCUUGGAAGACCUAGGUGAGCAGCAGAGAAGGCUUGUAGAAGAGAUGGGUUUUCAGGGAUUAUAUAGUCUGAAGCUACACAAGCUGAAUAAACCGAACAUACAUACUACAUACAUACUACAUAAACCGAACACUAUUCUGGUAUCUCCCUGA